This 310-nucleotide long non-coding RNA is filed under the name Capsicum annuum. Its description in RNAcentral is "long non-coding RNA (CANN_LNC012167)". The record is from RNAcentral. Lineage: Eukaryota; Viridiplantae; Streptophyta; Magnoliopsida; Solanales; Solanaceae.
UUCAAAUCAAUCUUUGGGGAUGUUAAGGCAAAGCAUGCAAGGGAUAUGAUGAUGUAUUUGGGAACUACCUGUCUUCCUCAGCACAAGGAAUCAAGAGAGAAAUAAAAAUGAGAGAGUCUUAUUGGUGAAAACCCUCACGGGCACCGUAAGACGAUGGUAAGUUGAGAGAAAUAAAAAUGAGAGAGUCUUCUUGGUGAAAACCCUUACGGGCACCAUAAGACGAUGGUGAGCUGAGAGAAAAAUAAGAGAGGUUUGUUGGCAAAAACUCUUCAAGGUGCCACUAGCCGAAUGAGGUCUCCGAAUGUAAUUG